GACGAACGCUGGCGGCGUGCUUAACACAUGCAAGUCGAACGGAAAGGCCCUGCUUGCAGGGUACUCGAGUGGCGAACGGGUGAGUAACACGUGGGUGAUCUGCCCUGCACUUCGGGAUAAGCCUGGGAAACUGGGUCUAAUACCGGAUAGGAGCCAUUUUUAGUGUGAUGGUUGGAAAGUUUUUUCGGUGUAGGAUGAGCUCGCGGCCUAUCAGCUUGUUGGUGGGGUAAUGGCCUACCAAGGCGGCGACGGGUAGCCGGCCUGAGAGGGUGGACGGCCACAUUGGGACUGAGAUACGGCCCAGACUCCUACGAGAGGCAGCAGUGGGGAAUACUGCACGAUGGGCGCAAGCCUGAUGCAGCGACGCCGCGUGGGGGAUGACGGCCUUCGGGUUGUAAACUCCUUUCGCUAGGGACGAAGCUUUUUGUGACGGUACCUAGAUAAGAAGCACCGGCUAACUACGUG
Molecule: ribosomal RNA, 465 nt
Filed under: uncultured bacterium
Lineage: Bacteria
Description: partial 16S ribosomal RNA
Rfam family: Bacterial small subunit ribosomal RNA
Source: RNAcentral